Mastomys coucha (southern multimammate mouse) is the source of this 131-nucleotide small nucleolar RNA. RefSeq annotates it as small nucleolar RNA SNORA17. The transcript has a single exon. The record is from RefSeq and is a predicted model, not a curated record. NCBI's taxonomy places the organism in Eukaryota, Metazoa, Chordata, Mammalia, Rodentia, Muridae.
AAUAACCCUAGAAGCACUGCGAAGGUGACUGCUGUGUCCCAUUUGCAUCAGUCGGCAGCAGAGAGGAGGGUAGCUAGUCUAAGCUCAGUGUUCAGACCUGUGAAUACCUAAAUGAAUAGUAGCCUAACUGU